AUGGGUCCCAGGCUCUUCAAUUGCCUGGCCCUUUGGCUCCUGGUGGCAGGUCCUGUGGACCCUAGAAUUGUCCAGACACCAAAGUAUCUGGUGACAGUCACAGGCAAUGAAAAGACCCUGACGUGUAAGCAGUAUCUAAACCACAAUGCUAUGUACUGGUAUAGACAGAGUGCUAAGAAGUCCUUAGAGCUCAUGUUUGCCUAUAGCUAUCAACGACUCGUUGAUAACCAGACUGUUCCGCAUCGCUUCCAAACUCACAAUCCAGAGAAAUCCCUCUUAGAACUUCAGAUCUCAGCCCUGGAGAACGAUGACUCGGCCACGUAUUUCUGUGCUAGCAGCCAAGACACAGCCUUGCAGAGCUCUUGGCCCCCUGUACACAAACCUCCUCAGUCUACUCAGGAAACUGUUGCUGCAGCAGGUCCUCCUAAGCCCCCAAGACUCAGUCAGUAG
Molecule: non-coding RNA, 450 nt
Organism: Cricetulus griseus (Chinese hamster)
Lineage: Eukaryota; Metazoa; Chordata; Mammalia; Rodentia; Cricetidae
Source: the annotation of a RefSeq genome assembly